AACGAACGCUGGCGGCAUGCCUAACACAUGCAAGUCGAACGAGACCUUCGGGUCUAGUGGCGCACGGGUGCGUAGCGCGUGGGAACCUGCCCUUAGGUUCGGAAUAACUCCCCGAAAGGGGUGCUAAUACCGGAUAAUGUCUUCGGACCAAAGAUUUAUCGCCUUUGGAUGGGCCCGCGUUGGAUUAGCUAGUUGGUAGGGUAAAAGCCUACCAAGGCGACGAUCCAUAGCUGGUCUGAGAGGAUGAUCAGCCACUCUGGGACUGAGACACGGCCCAGACUCCUACGGGAGGCAGCAGUGGGGAAUAUUGGACAAUGGGCGAAAGCCUGAUCCAGCAAUGCCGCGUGAGUGAUGAAGGCCUUAGGGUUGUAAAGCUCUUUUACCCGGGAUGAUAAUGACAGUACCGGGAGAAUAAGCGCCGGCUAACUCCGUG
Molecule: ribosomal RNA, 433 nt
Filed under: uncultured bacterium
Lineage: Bacteria
Description: partial 16S ribosomal RNA
Rfam family: Bacterial small subunit ribosomal RNA
Source: RNAcentral